RNAcentral lists this ribosomal RNA (498 nucleotides) under uncultured bacterium. Its description in RNAcentral is "partial 16S ribosomal RNA". It matches the Rfam family "Bacterial small subunit ribosomal RNA", at positions 30 to 523 of the family's 1533-position model. The record is from RNAcentral.
AUUGAACGCUGGCGGCAUGCCUUACACAUGCAAGUCGAACGGUAACAGGUCUUCGGAUGCUGACGAGUGGCGAACGGGUGAGUAAUACAUCGGAACGUGCCUAGUAGUGGGGGAUAACUACUCGAAAGAAUGGCUAAUACCGCAUGAGAUCUACGGAUGAAAGCAGGGGAUCGCAAGACCUUGUGCUACUAGAGCGGCCGAUGGCAGAUUAGGUAGUUGGUGGGAUAAAAGCUUACCAAGCCGACGAUCUGUAGCUGGUCUGAAAGGACGAUCAGCCACACUGGGACUGAGACACGGCCCAGACUCCGACGGGAGGCAGCAGUGGGGAAUUUUGGGCAAGGGGCGCAAGCCUGAUCCAGCAAUGCCGCGUGCAGGAUGAAGGCCUUCGGGUUGUAAACUGCUUUUGUACGGAACGAAAAGCCCUGGGUUAAUACCCUGGGGUCAUGACGGUACCGUAAGAAUAAGCACCGGCUAACUACGUGCCAGCCGCCGCCGUAA